GCCACGGUGGUCUAGCGGUUAGAACGCUGGCCUUGUAAUCCUGGGGUCUCGGGUUCGAUUCUCGGCGGUGCCC
This is a non-coding RNA of Zootermopsis nevadensis, 73 nucleotides long. Lineage: Eukaryota; Metazoa; Arthropoda; Insecta; Blattodea; Termopsidae. The record is from Rfam.